Molecule: ribosomal RNA, 207 nt
Filed under: uncultured bacterium
Lineage: Bacteria
Description: partial 16S ribosomal RNA
Rfam family: Bacterial small subunit ribosomal RNA
Source: RNAcentral
CUCGUAGGUGGUUUGUCGCGUUGUUCGUGAAAACCGGGGGCUUAACCCUCGGCGUGCGGGCGAUACGGGCAGACUUGAGUACUGCAGGGGAGACUGGAAUUCCUGGUGUAGCGGUGGAAUGCGCAGAUAUCAGGAGGAACACCGGUGGCGAAGGCGGGUCUCUGGGCAGUAACUGACGCUGAGGAGCGAAAGCGUGGGGAGCGAACA